UAUAAAUGCACCGGCUCUAUCUGCAAACAUACAGAGACAGCAAUUUCUUUCAGUUAGCAGUCGAUCAAGUGGCCCAACGUGAAAGUACUGAUAUGAAGCUCACGUUGCUUGUCCGGGAGACAGGGGGAAAGAGGCAACAGGUGAGCUUAAAUAUGGUGCAUGCAUAGCAGCAUGUAAUGUGGAAAACAAAAAUGAACACAAAAAUGCAAGAUUAACACAAAAUGAAAGUGUGCUUUUAAGAAAUAACUACAAAGAGCUUCAUAUAAAAGAGAGCAGUCUCUCUCAGGCUCCUUCAGUGUUCAUUUCGCUCUUGUGAAGGGAUGCUGGAGAACCUAGACCAGUUUGUCUGUUCACUUGUCUGUUCAUCUGGCAUUCAAUGAGAUAAAGAUUUAUGGUCCCAGUGACUGAAAAACAAUAGUCCCUAAAGUAAAACCAAAGGCACAUUUUGAAGGUUGUCAUGGUCCUGGGCCAUGUGGGCCCAGCAUUCUUAGUUUUCAUGUAUUUUUGUAUUUUGUUCUUUAUUUAGGCCAUGCUUCCUGGGUUGAUCUGUUACGUUGUUCCUUAUGUGUUUUCCCUUCGUGACUCUUACCCCCUGUGUGCCCCUCUGUGUAUUUAUGAGCCCUCGUCUCCCUUUGUGGUUGUUUCAUGUUUCCCCAGCCCGUUAUGUCUGUGUUUUUCCCCGUGCUCUCUCUCCUCCUGUCUGAACCUCUGUGCCUGUACAUGUCAUGUUCAGUUCACCCAGCCCUGUCUCGUUAUGAUUAUCAGUGUCACCUGUGUUCCCCGUGUGUGCCCACUUUCCUCGUUUACCCUCUGUGUAUUUCUGUCUGAGUCUCCCUCUGUUCGGUGUCGUGUUCUCCCUCAUGCUGUGUGUGAUUCCCCUGUGUUCCUUGGUGAGCUUUAUGUUAGUUUUUCCCAGUUUAGUUUUGUAUUGUUUCUCGUGGCCAGCAAUAAAGCUGUGUUUUUGAGUUCACCCCCGUGUCGUACUACGGUGUACAUUUUAGGACAUCGUCAGGUAUCAGACAAAAAAUUGUCAGGUGUCAGUUGUCAAAAAAAAAAGUUGUCAGGUAUCAGAAAAAAAAUUGUCAGGUGUCAGAAAAAAAAUUGUCAGGUGUCAGUUGUCAAAAAAAAAAAAAGUCAGGUAUCAGAAAAAAAAUUGUCAGGUGUCAGAAAAAAAGUUGUCAGGUGUCAGAAAAAAAGUUGUCAGGUGUCAGAAAAAAAAUUGUCAGGUGUCAGUUGUCCAAAAAAAAAAAAGUCAGGUGUCAGAAAAAAAAUUGUCAGGUGUCAGAAAAAAAGUUGUCAGGUGUCAGAAAAAAAGUUGUCAGGUGUCAGACAAAAAAUUGUCAGGUGUCAGUUGUCAAAAAAAAAAAAGUCAGGUAUCAGAAAAGAAAUUGUCAGGUGUCAGAAAAAAAGUUGUCAGGUGUCAGAAAAAAAGUUGUCAGGUGUCAGACAAAAAAGUUGUCAGGUGUCAGAAAAAAAAUUGUCAGGUAUCAGAACACAAGGUACCAGAGAGAAAAUCUUCCUGCAGGUGGCGCUGUUGUCAUGUCCCACCCGAAUUGAUUUCCAAAUACGUCAUCAACGUGUGACCGUGGGAGAGCGUAAGGUCAUUGACCUCACCGGAGUUUUACCGUGGUUCAGGCUCCUAACGACACAAGGUAAGUUUAACUUUUUCUCCCUUUUGUUCAUAUUUUUGCCACAGUUGUGUUAUAUUAAGUUGCAGUUAUGUUGUGAAAGUUACAUAUCAGAGACGGAAAGCCAGUUUUGUACGAAACCAAAUCAGUACUAUUUUUGUCUGGCUAAUUCAUUCUAGCUAGCGACAGUGGUGAAACGUGAUUCAAAUUUAAACUGUUCAGUAAUUGUUUUGUAUACAUUUCAGCAAAUGGACAAGCUGAAAGCUUACGAGCAGCCUGCAUCCUUUCUGUCGCUCUUUUUCUUUAUUUCUCUUUUCUAUAUUGCUACUGUCGGGAUAUUUUUUGAUCCCGAUUUUUUUUUCUGUUAUUGUUUUUAGACUUUGCUGCAAUAUGUCAUCUGACGAUGAUGAAAGGAGUAUCCGACUCUGGCUGGUUCCCAUGACUGUACCAAAAAUACUUUUUUUUUUAUUAAAAAAAGAGCAUUAAAAAUAAAUGACUAAAGUACAACUUAUUUAUUAACUACUGUUCACCUAUUUAAUAUCAAAGAAGUGUAUUUUUUGCUACACGUUUUAUUUGUGGGCACUGAAUUGACGAUGCUUUUAGUGUAAUUGCCACAUAAAAAGAUUUAGUACUUUACUGGUUAAUUACUUAUGUUCAGUGUAAGAGGUGGGUGAUCAAUUAGACUGUUGUUGUUACACUUAACCUUUCAAGAUAUGAUGAUAAUAACAUUGUUCAACAAAGGCUUAAAACAAAAGGAAAUCAGCUGUGCACUGAAUUCAUAUGGGCAUAAAAUAAGUGAGAGGCAUCUGAGACGAGUUUUAAAACUUCUAGGGUUGAAGCGAAGAUGCCCCCAACGACCUUUUACUGAAAUCCAC
Astatotilapia calliptera (eastern happy) is the source of this 2503-nucleotide long non-coding RNA. The record is from Ensembl. Lineage: Eukaryota; Metazoa; Chordata; Actinopteri; Cichliformes; Cichlidae.